Alligator sinensis (Chinese alligator) is the source of this 934-nucleotide long non-coding RNA. RefSeq lists it as uncharacterized. The transcript has 3 exons. The record is from RefSeq and is a predicted model, not a curated record. Lineage: Eukaryota; Metazoa; Chordata; Crocodylia; Alligatoridae.
CACGGCGAUCGAAAAUGAAUGCUCCUUCAUUCUUGCAGUGUGAGAGAAGUGACGGUUACACAGAAACACGGCCUCGGCGUGUAAAGAGCGGUGCAGGCCAGGGGAAUUUCCUGUGACUUCAAUCAGCUUGGAUUUAUUAGCUCUCAUGGAGGAGAGAAAGCAGCAAGCGGCAAGCUCUUCUUGAUGAAUGGUCUCACAUCAAGAAGAGAGAGAGGAAACACCUUGCGUGCAGAGGAUCCCGUUAUGCUCCACGCUGCCUCGCAGAGCAUCUACCCUUGACUUGCUGCCGGGCCUCUGCCGACUCCCACCUCGUGGCCUGCCUCGCGCCACCUCCUGCCAAGGGCACCGUGUUGAAAGUAGCAGCUGGUUACGUGGCCUUAAAAAUAAAAGCAGCAGGAAGCGACUAGCAGCGCUUCUGCCUCGGCGGCGUCAGAGCGCGGACGAGCAUCGCUGAGCUCAGAAACUCCCGACAGCUCAGCCUGCCUCCCGCUGCUGGCAGGAGCUACAAAACCCGAGGCCAGUCGGUCCACCGCAGGACUCUCCCCGCACCAGAGGUGAUCCAGGCAGGUUGGUUUCAGAAAGCGGCGGAGACCGGGGAAAAAUCUGACUCUGCCUUAGGGCUUCCUUUCCUCUAUCCAUCCAAACUGCCUUAGGGACCCUCCGGCUCAGCAGCCAGGCACUCUGCCCUCUCCCGUGGCCCACGUACCGCACUACAAACGUUAUGUUUGCUCCCAAAGCCGACAGCUGCUGCGUCCAGAUCUGCACACAACUAAUACAGCUGGAGUCUUAGCCACGUAGUGGGGAUGGCAUUAUACUGGAAUAACGUCCUCCUCCAUAGGAAGGCAAACAGUUUUAUUGGCACGAGACACGUCUUUCCCAGUAUAAAUGCAUCCAUGGGAUGGGUUGGGUUAAUAUAAUAGUGUCAAUAAAAGCU